Molecule: ribosomal RNA, 793 nt
Filed under: uncultured archaeon
Lineage: Archaea
Description: bacterial SSU rRNA
Rfam family: Archaeal small subunit ribosomal RNA
Source: RNAcentral
ACGGCUCAGUAACACGUGGAUAACCUGCCCUUGGGUCUGGGAUAACCCCGGGAAACUGGGGAUAAUACCGGAUAACGCAUAUAUGCUGGAAUGCUUUAUGCGUAAAAUGGAUUCGUCUGCCCAAGGAUGGGUCUGCGGCCUAUCAGGUAGUAGUGGGUGUAAUGUACCUACUAGCCUACAACGGGUACGGGUUGUGAGAGCAAGAGCCCGGAGAUGGAUUCUGAGACAUGAAUCCAGGCCCUACGGGGCGCAGCAGGCGCGAAAACUUUACAAUGCGGGAAACCGUGAUAAGGGGACACCGAGUGCCAGCAUCAUAUGCUGGCUGUCCAGAUGUGUAAAAUACAUCUGUUAGCAAGGGCCGGGCAAGACCGGUGCCAGCCGCCGCGGUAACACCGGCGGCCCGAGUGGUGAUCGUGAUUAUUGGGUCUAAAGGGUCCGUAGCCGGUUUGGUCAGUCCUCCGGGAAAUCUGAUGGCUCAACCAUUAGGCUUUCGGGGGAUACUGCCAGGCUUGGAACCGGGAGAGGUAAGAGGUACUACAGGGGUAGGAGUGAAAUCUUGUAAUCCCUGUGAGACCACCUGUGGCGAAGGCGUCUUACCAGAACGGGUUCGACGGUGAGGGACGAAAGCUGGGGGCACGAACCGGAUUAGAUACCCGGGUAGUCCCAGCCGUAAACGAUGCUCGCUAGGUGUCAGGCAUGGCGCGACCGUGUCUGGUGCCGCAGGGAAGCCGUGAAGCGAGCCACCUGGGAAGUACGGCCGCAAGGCUGAAACUUAAAGGAAUUGGCGGGGGAG